RNAcentral lists this ribosomal RNA (935 nucleotides) under Escherichia coli. RNAcentral's name for it is "partial 23S ribosomal RNA". It matches the Rfam family "Bacterial large subunit ribosomal RNA", at positions 218 to 1191 of the family's 2925-position model. Lineage: Bacteria; Pseudomonadati; Pseudomonadota; Gammaproteobacteria; Enterobacterales; Enterobacteriaceae. The record is from RNAcentral.
AAAGAAAUCAACCGAGAUUCCCCCAGUAGCGGCGAGCGAACGGGGAGCAGCCCAGAGCCUGAAUCAGUGUGUGUGUUAGUGGAAGCGUCUGGAAAGGCGCGCGAUACAGGGUGACAGCCCCGUACACAAAAAUGCACAUACUGUGAGCUCGAUGAGUAGGGCGGGACACGUGGUAUCCUGUCUGAAUAUGGGGGGACCAUCCUCCAAGGCUAAAUACUCCUGACUGACCGAUAGUGAACCAGUACCGUGAGGGAAAGGCGAAAAGAACCCCGGCGAGGGGAGUGAAAAAGAACCUGAAACCGUGUACGUACAAGCAGUGGGAGCACAGAGCAAUCUGUGUGACUGCGUACCUUUUGUAUAAUGGGUCAGCGACUUAUAUUCUGUAGCAAGGUUAACCGAAUAGGGGAGCCGAAGGGAAACCGAGUCUUAACUGGGCGUUAAGUUGCAGGGUAUAGACCCGAAACCCGGUGAUCUAGCCAUGGGCAGGUUGAAGGUUGGGUAACACUAACUGGAGGACCGAACCGACUAAUGUUGAAAAAUUAGCGGAUGACUUGUGGCUGGGGGUGAAAGGCCAAUCAAACCGGGAGAUAGCUGGUUCUCCCCGAAAGCUAUUUAGGUAGCGCCUCGUGAAUUCAUCUCCGGGGGUAGAGCACUGUUUCGGCAAGGGGGUCAUCCCGACUUACCAACCCGAUGCAAACUGCGAAUACCGGAGAAUGUUAUCACGGGAGACACACGGCGGGUGCUAACGUCCGUCGUGAAGAGGGAAACAACCCAGACCGCCAGCUAAGGUCCCAAAGUCAUGGUUAAGUGGGAAACGAUGUGGGAAGGCCCAGACAGCCAGGAUGUUGGCUUAGAAGCAGCCAUCAUUUAAAGAAAGCGUAAUAGCUCACUGGUCGAGUCGGCCUGCGCGGAAGAUGUAACGGGGCUAAACCAUG